GAUGAACGCUGGCGGCGUGCCUAAUACAUGCAAGUCGAGCGAACGGACGAGAAGCUUGCUUCUCUGAUGUUAGCGGCGGACGGGUGAGUAACACGUGGAUAACCUACCUAUAAGACUGGGAUAACUUCGGGAAACCGUAGCUAAUACCGGAUAAUAUUUUGAACCGCAUGGUUCAAAAGUGAAAGACGGUCUUGCUGUCACUUAUAGAUGGAUCCGCGCUGCAUUAGCUAGUUGGUAAGGUAACGGCUUACCAAGGCAACGAUGCAUAGCCGACCUGAGAGGGUGAUCGGCCACACUGGAACUGAGACACGGUCCAGACUCCUACGGGAGGCAGCAGUAGGGAAUCUUCCGCAAUGGGCGAAAGCCUGACCGAGCAACGCCGCGUGAGUGAUGAAGGUCUUCGGAUCGUAAAACUCUGUUAUUAGGGAAGAACAUAUGUGUAAGUAACUGUGCACAUCUUGACGGUUCCUAAUCAGAAAGCCACGGCUAACUACGU
This 496-nucleotide ribosomal RNA is filed under the name uncultured bacterium. RNAcentral describes it as "partial 16S ribosomal RNA". It matches the Rfam family "Bacterial small subunit ribosomal RNA", at positions 28 to 506 of the family's 1533-position model. The record is from RNAcentral.